AUGACCCAAUGCAGAUGUGUCUACUCAGGGCCAAUCUGCAGGUUAAUUUAUGGCAGCGGGCACUCUGAUGAUUUGGGAUCAUUUAAGCUCAUUACUACGGCACCUGGUGCCCAGGCUGCCCCAGUAGCUUAACUGGUCAUGUGACUUGAGUGACAUCAUCACCACUUUUCCCCACUUCCUGGAUUAAUGUUUGGUGGCCUACUUUUCCUCCGAAGCCUCUGGCAGAAGAUCCUGAGGAAGCAAAGCAUAAUACCGAUAAAUAUUAGAUCCUUCACUGCACUACUGGUUACAAGGAAAGAGGAAAUAUUCCGUUUUACAGGUUCUUCAUCCACCUCGACCUCACCCCCCAAUCCCCAAACUGUUGGAAGACGGCACAGCGAAAGUGCACAGGCCUGUCUUAUUCUUUGGAGGGAAGCACUUUCUCUUGUCAUUGGCUUUUUCCUUCUAGCCACGAAGAAAUGUACUUUUGCGAAGAACUGGAAAGAGGAUUCUGUGAACUUGUAUGGAGAAGCUGUUGACGGUGAAGGAUGUAACAUUGUGCUGAAAUAACUGGCUGAAAGAAACUCAGGGAAGAAAUAAAAGAGACAUGAGGAGAAGGCUCUCUGCUGGAUAGAAUGACCGAAUCUGGUGGAAGGAGGGUCCUGGGGGCAGUGGGAGGCAGGGUUCUCAAUGAAGUGGGUGCACAGGUUAUUAUCCCAGAGCCAUCCCCAGUCCUUAUUAGCAUCACCUGCUUGUUUCCAGCUCAGAGAUUCAGCUCCACUUUCCUUUGGCAAAGGGAGAGGCAUUUCAAGAUAUUUGGUCCUCAACAUCUGGAAGAGAGAAAACUCUUAAUAUACGAUGAGGAAACUGAAGCUUGGAGGAAUUAAAUGACUUGCCCUUCUUUACAUCUGUCAUUGCUGGAAACCAUUUUGCAUACUGAUGCCCGAAUGACGUUGAUGUACUACAGACUAUGUCAUUCCCCUUCUUAGGAUCCUCAUACCGCCGAUGGAUUAACAUGCAAGAUCCUGAGUGUUUUAAGGAAAACUUCAGGAUGCAAGCCAACAAAUAUCAAAGAAGAUAAUGAAGGACCACAGAACCCAGUCGAGUCCAAGCACAUUUAUCUGAGGAGCCAACUCAUAUUGACCUGUUUGUGCCCCUACUCUGCCUCUUGUUCCUGAUGAAGAUAUUAUAGAGAUAAAAGCCAUAAGAAAGAUGACAAACCAUAAUUAGGUGUGUCAUGAACUGAUGUCCAGCUAGCUUCACUUUCGGUUAAAGUCUAGGGUGGACGGUGGGCAUGUUCAAUCAGCAGAUGAAGAUGAGAUCACAACGGCCAAGUUUGGGAUCCUGAAUAAGAGUUGUACUCAGCACAGGAAUUAGGGGUCUUCUAGGGAGCUGAAGAUCUGUUGAAACCUCUGCUGACUUUGGGAUGUAAAUUACAUGCUUCAGGAAUCUCUCUUGUCUCAGUCUUUCAGCUUGAUGCCAUUGCUGCACAGAAGGAAAUCUUUGAAGGAGCAGCUAUAUUAAUGUGAGGAUCUGUGGCUGGAAAAGAUGGCAAAGAUGGGUAACUUCUUUUAGGGUCAAUCAGUGUUAGGAAACCAUGUCUUGAAUUUGGAUACUGAUAUGAAGCACCUGACUAUGCAGUAAUUUUUUCAGAAUAGAUUUAGGACACCAGGAACUAUCUCCAUUUGUGAAAACAGGAUUUGGGACAUAUCCUUACUGAUUUUUCUAUCUAUAUGCAAAAUCAAGGAUUUAUUGUAAAAAUGUAGAAAAUAUAGAAGGAAGAAAGAAGAAAAUAUAUGUAAGCCCAUAUAUGUAACUGAAGAAAAUCCUCAAUAGUCUUUUUUUCUGUUAGACCCUUCCAUUGUUUUUCCUAUGCAUAUGCAUGUGUGUUUUAUUUGGAACUAUAUUUUAUGCUUUUUUUUUGUGAGGAAGAUUGUCCCUAAGCUAACAUCUGUUGCCAAUUUUCCUCUUUUUGUUUUUUUCUCCCCAAAUCCCCAGUACAUAGUUGUAUAGUGUAGUUGUAAGUCCUUCCAAUUCUUCUGGGAUGCUGCCACAGCAUGGCUUGAUGAGUGCUGUGUAGGUCCGCUCCCAGGAUCCGACCCAGCAAAUCCUGGGCAGCAAAAGCAGAGUGUACAAACUUUGGGCCGGCCCCUAGUACUGGAUUUUAUAACAUUCAUGUUCCACAGUGCCUACUUUUCUGUAAACUGGUUUCUCACUUCACACUUCAUGCAUACUUUUAUGUUAUUAAAUAUUAUUUUAGAUCUUGAUUUUUAAGCACUGUGUAUCAUUUUCACAUACUGUAAUUUAUUUUGCCAAUGCCCCAUUGGUCCAGUUUUUUCUCUGUUAUAAGCAUUCCAUGUUCAUAAAUAUUUAUUAUAUUUGUAAUCUUUCUUCAGGAUAAAUUCCAGGUUAUAGAAAUAAUGGGAUAAAUGGCAUGGUUUUUCUUUUAGGUUUUUAAUGCAUAUUACCAAAGGCCUAUUCUCAAGAUCCAUGGCCAACCCUAGGCAUUAAUACUGAACAAUAAAAUAAAAUAAAUAGUUUUGAAAUUUUAUAAGAUAAAAUAGCAUUUGAUGCUAUAAUAAUUUGUACCUCUUCUAUAGCAACUCAAUAUUAUUGACUUUGAGAUUUCUCUAAUGCUUCAUACUGGCAGCUAAUGUCCAGGAGUAGGGACUGGAAACUUGGGUUCAAUUGAAGGCUCCGACACUGGCUUGCUACACAAUCUUGGCUCAGUUUCUUCAUCCCUGUCCCUUAGUUUUCUUAUCUUGAAAAUGGAGGAAAGAAUAACCCCACCCAUUUGUGUUUCAUCAAGAUGCUAUGAAAACAAAUGAAGUCCCCUCCCAAAUCCUUUUCCACACUUCAACUGUCUGUAAAAGGUCUAUAUUAAGGUUAAU
This 2870-nucleotide long non-coding RNA is filed under the name Equus caballus (horse). Its description in RNAcentral is "lncRNA (ENSECAG00000050316.1)". The record is from RNAcentral. Lineage: Eukaryota; Metazoa; Chordata; Mammalia; Perissodactyla; Equidae.